UGCUGAUGUAUGGCCUCAAGCACGC
Molecule: non-coding RNA, 25 nt
Filed under: Drosophila erecta
Lineage: Eukaryota; Metazoa; Arthropoda; Insecta; Diptera; Drosophilidae
Also listed under: 1 other name
Source: RNAcentral